AACGUGGGUGGAGACGGUUGCCAUGACGUGGGCAGUUGCUGCGGCGCCGAUUUGCUUCAAUCUGCUUAGGGUUUCUGCUAUACCCUGUGUUCUUUUGGGCUAACAGGCUAGUGCUAGCAAUUUGGGUUGUUUGGGUAUUGGUCUUGUAAUUUGGUUAUUGGGUCGGGUGUUAUUGGGUUUAAAACUGGGUCUGUAAUUUAUUGUAUUUUUAUUUUAAGGUUUAUGUAUUUGGGCCCGGGCUAAAAUGGCCUAUUACA
RNAcentral lists this long non-coding RNA (257 nucleotides) under Gossypium raimondii (Peruvian cotton). Its description in RNAcentral is "long non-coding RNA (GRAI_LNC004477)". Lineage: Eukaryota; Viridiplantae; Streptophyta; Magnoliopsida; Malvales; Malvaceae. The record is from RNAcentral.